CUUUGAAUUUAGCUUCUUCAUCAUCAACUUUAGGGCUUGUCUUUGCAAUACCUUCGUUUACAAGCUUCUCAGCAGUAUUCACUUUAUCCCCAGCUGCAAAAUAAAUUCAAAAGAAUUAUUAUUACAUAAUUUACAGACAUAAUAUUUCUAUGAUAAUUAUAAACUUGAAUAUGUCUACAUGUGGGAGUAUGAGCUAGUAAUAUGAAGCAUGCACAAACCUGAAACUUGAGUUGUUGGUAGAGCUGAAGUAGCAUAAAAGAAAGUGACAAUAAGCAACAAGUGCAUAAGUGCAGAUGGCUUUCCCAUUGAGAAAACAAGGUAAGGUAUGACAAUUAUGAUAGGGGAAUGAAUACCUCAAAGCCUGAGUUUCAAUAUUACAUUUACUCUUAUUUAUAAUAGAAAUACCCACCUACCUUGGAAUCUUCAAAUUAAUUAUACCACUGUUUGUUUUUGAGAUAUUUUUUAGUGAACAAAUGUAUUUCUUAACUUAAGACUUUUCUUCUUCUCUAUUGUAUGCCAUCUAAUAACCAACUCAUAAAUAAACCCUACUUAAGUUCAUUUGUGAGCUGAGUUUUUUUUAAAUGAAAGAGAAAAUUUGAAAGUUAUGAAAUACACUUAUGAGAUAGAUCUGAAGUCCUCUCUUGCCUUUGUUUUCCUCAAAAACUCAACUCGCAAACACACCCUAAAGUUAUGUUUGCAAGUUAGAUUUUGGAGGGGAGAGAAGAGAAAUAGAAAGCUUUAGAAUCAUUUCAUAAUUGUAUUUUAUGAUUUACAAACCUUCGCUUUCCCUUCUUUCCCUUACAAAACUCAAAUCGCAGAUGAAAUCUAAAGGUUUGUUUGCGAAUUGAGUUUCGGAAGAGAAUAUAAGACUUCAACCCUAUCUCACAAGUUUCAUGAUGUUGGAAUCUUGUCUUUCUCUUGUUUUCCCUCCAAAAUCUAACUCGUUGUUUUGUGAGCUAGGGUUUGAAAGGGAAUAAAAGGAAAAAUAAAACUUCAGAAUUAUCUCAUAAAUUGUUUCAUGACUUUGAAACUUUCUUUUUCACUCACUUCCCUCCAAAGUCUAACUCGUAAAGAGACCAUACUCACUAAUGAUGUUAAAAUUACAUUAAUGGCCAUUGCGUGAGUAUUGAGCAACAAAGUCAGUUGCAAAUUAGAAUUGCUAUUUUCUAUCUCUCUCUAAAUGCAUUCCAACUAACUAAUUGUAUUGGUAUCUAAAAUUACAAGCUUAGUGUAUUCACAUUUAAUUUAUUGCACAUAGCUAGGCCACUUAAAGUACUUUUAAUCACAAGCUAUAGCUAUUAUAAAUAACACUAGAUUAUUGGAGUAAAGCAACUCAUGCAAGCUUUUUUCUUUUCAGCUUUUACAGUGUUGCCAUACCUUGGUGUGGCCUAGUUGUUUUCUCAAUGACAAAGGUUUCCAGUUUGCAAUAUGCAUAGUACAUUUCUGUGGUCCGCUCUUGCUUGUUGUGAGUUUCUUUUACGCUAAUUCUGCUGCAGCAACAUAAAUUUCAGGUUGGUGAUUAUUCUGACACUCACUGAUACCAUUUUUGUUCAUUUUUAUAACUUAUGUUUUGACCUUUUGUGCAAUUAUUAUUCAGGAAAUGAAGAAUUGUCGAAGACAAGCUUAGAAGUUCAUGAUGAAGAAGCAAAGUUCAAAUGAAUUUUUCAUAUAAAACCAUUAGUCAAGAAGCCAUUUUUCAAGAAACCCAUUUCAGUUGUUAAGCCUAUACCAAAGCCAUAUCCACUAGUGAAAAAAAAUAUUUCUAUUCAAAGUUCUAAUUCAACAGCGCGUAUUUUAGAUGUAUAAUAGUGUUUUCAUGCGCUUUCUAUUUGAUCACAGUAGAUAUUAUCAUGAUUAACAACGCUUCUCAAACGCUGUUGUAUUGAUAUAUACCACAACACAUCAUAUAAAAAGCGUUGUCAUUUAUUGCAUAAAUACAAUAGUGCUUCUUUCACACAAUGCUGUCAUAUAUGUCUUACAUAAACAACGAAUGUUAUAGGUAUUAUUAACAACGCUUAUUGUUGCGCUGUUGCAUUACAUAUAUAUAUAACAACACAUUAAAUAUUCUCAAACAACAACUUAAUACAACCGCGCAACACACACGUAACGUUGUUGUUGUAUUAAGCAUGUCUAUAAAAAGCGCUCUUGUAUUAAUCAUUUACAACAGCGCAUGUCAGGGUUUCCCCUAGAAUUCGUUUGUUGAUUUAUAGAAAUUAAUAUUUGCAUAUACAUCUAUUAGCAGCACAAACAUUCUUAAUAGCACAUACAUUUAUACAUUCUCAACAAUACAAACAAAUUAAUACAUAUGAGAAGUUUGUUUUAUUAACAUCAAUACAAUAUAAUACAAACUACAAACAAUGAAUAUCAUGACAAUUAUAUUUUGACAAAGUACAUAAUUACAACAAAAAAUAUGCAAAUUAGAAAGAAACAAAAUUAUACAAAUUACAAACAAUCAAAAUUAAGUUAUAAUUAUACAAAGACUACUUGUAUCUACUUUUUCCUUUUCUUUGAUUGUUUUUGGCUUGUACGUUCAUCAUUGUUUAGAAGAAUAUAUUGAUUCACCCAGAACCCUUCAUCGUGAUCAUCUCUUGUAUAUAAAUCAUCUUUCGUAGUUGGUCCGCUCUCACACGACUCAUGUAUCCCAAAAAGGAUCACCUUCAUCAAUAUCUUCAUAUUUUUGGUCAUCAAUAUUAUUGAUGAUUAUUUUGUUAGUUAAAAGAAUAAUGAACCAUUUCAUAUCAGCUGUGUCACUAUCAUAGAAUAUUUGUUGAGCUUGUGAUGCUAUAAUAAAUGACUCAUCUUUAUAUCCCGAUCUGUUAAGAUCCAACUACAUGAACCCUAAUUCAUUAACUCAGAAAUCAUUGUUGUUAUCAAUCCACACACAAUAAAAAACCGGCAUCUGAAAUAUUGUGUACUCCAAUUCCCAUAUUUGUUCAAUCACACCAAAGUAUGACAUGUUCGCAUAUAUUGAGUUUAUAUCUUUUGUACUUGACAUGUGUAAAGUUCGAGCAACAAGAGUCACACCACUAUUUUGUAUUGUACUUUGAUCAUCUUUUUUUCCGUAUAAAAUGUGAACUCAUCAAUUAUGUAACUAGUAUAAGAUAAGACAUGAAUACUUGAAUCAUUAGCUAACCAUUUCAAUAUUUCAGAAACUGAAUGUGCAUUAAUAUUCAACUCCUCAUUAAUGUGAUUUUUAGCCACUUUAUGAAACACCGAUUAUGCUAUUUGGAAAUCCAAUUUUCAUUCUUACUUGGGUAAGACUUCCUUAGCAUCUCCUUGUGUAUUUCAACAUAUGAAUCAACCUCGUCGGCAUCAUGUAAAACAUAUAAGCGUGCUUACUCCAAUACGGUUAUUUUUAUAGUCAAUAUUUCAUUCCUAGUAAUACCUCCACCAAAUGCUUUUUUGCAUAUCGAGGCUUUGGAAUGCCCAUGAAAUCCCCAUCGGUGACGUAUUCGAUACAAAAAUCAAGAGUUUCUUCAACAACAUAUCGCUCAACAAUACAACCCUCUGGUCUUGAUCGGUUCUUCGCAUACCCUUUUAUUGUCUUCAUAUAACACCAAUACAACUCUUUGGUGUUGAUCGAUUCUUCACAUACCUUUUUAAUGUCUUCAUAUAACGCUCAAAGGGUACAUCUAUCUUAUAUAGGUAGGGCCACAUAGUUGUGUAUCUCGAACAAGAUGAAUGCUUAGAUGAAUCAUUAUGUUAAAAAAAGAACGUAGGAAAUACAUUUCAAGCUCACACAAAUAUAUGCAUGUCUCCCACAUUUGCUUGAAGUAUUCAAUUAAUGAAGCCAAAUAUAUAUAUAUAUAAAUAAAUGUCAUUUCCUGGUUGUUUAGGUCCAGAAACUAAUAUAGAUAACAUCAUAUUUGUGCUUCAUACAUAGAGAAGGAGGUAUGUUGUAUAUCACCAACAUCACUAGUCAUGUAAUGUGGGAGAAACUUUGAACACUAUGUGAGUUAAUUCCAUAUGUUGAUAAUGUAAGACAUAAAUUUCUUGAUUCUUGACCAAAACUAGGAUAAUCAUGAUCAAAAUUUCACCAUUAAGGAGAAUCUGCAAGAUGCCGAAACUUGUUAUUUUUAAUCCUUUCUUUAUCAUGUCAUGUCAACUUCUUUGCAUCAUUAGUAUUGCUAAACAUAUGUUGAAUCUUGAUUUGAUGAAAAAUACCAUACAACCUUUUUGGUAAUUGAGUCUUCCUUCUUAUAUCGUGAUGCAUUAUAUUUAGGACAAAACUUUAAUGAAAAAUAUUCAUGAAAAAAUAAGAUGCAAUCAUUUUCACAAGCAUGUAUCCUAGUGUAAUUCAUGUCAAUGGAGCGUAACAUUUGUUUUGCAUCAUAGCUUCGAGAAGAGAGUACAUUAUCCUCCAGCAACAUAUCCUUCAAAAUUGCAAGCAAGUCGGUGAAACUCUUAUCAGUCCAUUAAUUAAUAGAUUUCAACUUAUACAACCUUGACACCGCUGCCAAUCUUGUGAAUUUAGUACAACCAUCAUAUAUUGGUUUCUUAGCAUCACUUAUCAACCGCUGAAACAUCUCAGGACAAUCCUAAAGACCCUAUUUGAUAGUGUUUGCCAUUUCCUCGAAACGAUCGUCUUCAUAUGCAUUUGUGUAGUUUUAUUUCAUAUACAACUCAUCAUCACAGUCCAUAAUGUCUCUCUUCUCACCAUGUCUUGUCGAACAUGUGUAACUUUGAUCAAUACCGUGACACACUAAAUGAACUUUUAACUCAUUUGGAGUAAUUCGGCAAUGCCUCCUUUUCUUUUAGGACAACCUGAUAAAUCAAGAAAAAACAUAAUGUUAAUUAAUCAUAUUUUGAUAAAUAAUGUAUGGAAAUUAAAUAUAAUUAAAAAAAUGAGCACUUAUAACACGUUUUUCCGCUUCUUGAACUUGCUCAUUGUCGAUGACUUCAUCCUUGUUCUUACGGGCAUCAACACAUAGAACAUAACCGAUAAUGUAAUUAUAUAUAUAUGCAUACAAAACAUAACCAAUAAUGUACUUACAUAUUAAUAAUACUUACAAUUUUUUCUUCGAUUCCUCUAUACCCCGCUCGAGAAGCCCUCUAGCAGUUUUCAUUACUUACUUUCUGCAAAAACAAACAACAUUAACAUCAACAAUCAUAUAUAUGUAUAUAAAAAACAUAUAUAAGAAUAAAGUCAAUACACAGAAUAUGAUUUUACGAAGAAAGACUCGUCUUGUAUGUAAUAGGGUGACAAAAAUCUUCCAAUCCUCAUCUUCAACGACAUUUACAUAUUUCUUUGGAGGUUUUAGGUUGACAUUCCACCAGCAUCUCUGAUACAUUUUCCGGUAUCGGUUCUAAAUUGUCGGAGAGCCUUGUCAUCAGAUUUAUUGAUAUAAUCUUUAUACUCCUCACCAACAUCAAAAGUUGACUGAAAUUAAAACACAUAUAUAUUAUAUUGCAUGCCAACAUAUGAAUAUAUGUACUUGCAUGCAAACACAUAUACGUACAUUGCAUCAAAACGCAAAAACAUACACUGAAAAGUAAACUUACAGUUAUUUCAUUCCAAAUACGUUCCUUCACGAUAUUCAACCUAAAAUCAGUAUAUUUGUUGAAUGUUAGCGACACAUUUUGCCUAACCACGACCCUAAUAAUAUAGCUUACCAAUGAGUUGUCACCAUUCGAGUUUAAUGUUUGGCCUUUUGAGUUUCAUUGAACUUCUAUCUUCACAUCCUUAUUUCUUGUCCGAAUGACAUUUUUAUGGAAGUCAUUCCACAUGGAGUUCGUUUUUUUAGCAAUGAUUUGCUUGUCUUGUGGAUUCGGUGUAGAUUCGUCACCAUUGUGAGAACCAUGAUCACCAUUUGGGGAAGCAAUUGAUGAAGUUUUGUUUUAGGGUUUAUGAGAGUAUGUGGGUUUAUGAGAGUAUGAGGUUUUUUUCCGAGUAUGUUUGAGAGCGUAGAGGGAACUGAAUAAUAUUUUAGAUAUUUAAACUGUAAUAACAAUUCAACAACGCUAUUUACAUAAAUCACUAUUAAUAUGACCUCUUCAACAACGCAAAAUAAAGGAUGCAUUGUUGUUAUUGCAUCUUCCAUAACGCAUCCUUGAAAAAGUGUUGUUAUCAAGUGUGAAUCCAGCUGUUGACUGCUUAUUUUCAUAGACACAUAUUCUACAACGUUUCCUUGAUGGUGUGUUGUUGAACAUAAUCCAAUUGACAACACUAUCUCAACUAUGUGUUGUUGAAUAGAAUCUAAUUGACAACGCAAUCUUAAUUAUGCGUUGUUAAACUUAAUUCAUUUCCCAAAUUAACAACAUAUCCCUAAUUUUGCGCUGUUAAAUGAACAUAUUACAUUACAGGUCAAAAUGCAACAUGAAAAUAAGUUAAUUAACAUGAAGUUGUCAUGAAGUAAAUUACCAUGUGUUUAUUAAUAUGAAACUAGAAAAAUAUUAAACAUUAAGUUUUUUUAUAAUUUGUUUAUUAUGUUUUGUUAAUUUGCUUAAUGUGUUUAUUAAUAUAUGGAACUUAAAAAAUAUUAAACAUUAAUAACUUUUCAAAUAAGUCACAAAAAAAUAGAAAUUAACAUCCAAAAUAAUUGUUCAUUCUUCAUUCAAAGAGUCAAAAUAUAUUCUAAUGAACUAAAUGAUUUGGUAGAAGACAAUAUAAUGAAAUAAAUGAUGUAGUAUUUUACAAUGAACCAAUGAAGCAAAUUAAUGAACUAAAUGAUUUAGUAGAUUACAACGAAGGAAAUUAAUGAACUGAAUGAUUUGGUAGAUGAAUGAACUUAAUGAUUUUCAAAUUAAUUUUUCAUCUCACGUAAAUCUUGUAUAACAACCACUUUCCUUUUGAAAUUUGGGUCAUUUUGCAAAAUAAAAAAUUGUUAAAGACCUUGUUGACAUGAUUCUGAUAUAGGGUUCCCGACAAUACAACUUUAGCACUUUUAACACUUCGAGUUGUUGAGAUCUAUUGUCUGUCUUUUUUCUAUUCCUUUUAACAAAACUUACGUUUUUCUUUUUAUCUUGUAUUGCUCUCUUUUUUCCUAUCUUCAUCGCUUUGGAUGCCAUGACAAUAUGAAUGAGACAAAAGAAAAUAUACAAAGCAGAAAAAAAUAAUAUAUAGAAACACGUACUCUUAAUGAUGAACUAGAACAUGGAGUGAACCACAAUUUAUAGAUGUGCAACCAUUAAUAUUUGAAGAAACAAAGAGACGCAUAACCGCUUAACCAUUAAUAUUUCUAGAAAUGAAGAGACAUAUAAUCACUCAACCAUUAAUAUUUCAAGAAACGAAGAGAUACAUAAUCACUUAACCAUUAAUAUCCUUGAUACUUAAAAAGUCGUAUACAAUCAACAACGCAUAAUUAAGAAAGCGUUGUUACUAUGUCAUCUUCAACACCACUUAUUCAAUGUUGCGUUGUGGAAUUGAUGAACAUUAACAAUGCUUCCUAUCACAUAUGUUGUUAUACAUAACUCAUUCAAGUCAACGCUAACGUUAAUGAUGUUCAACAUCGCUGUUGAAGUUACUCACAUUGACAAUGCUUGUUUUAGUAUGGGAUGUCGAUGUUCUUCCACCUCGUUUUCAACAACGACAUUCAAAAUUGUGCUAUUGAAUGAUCAUUGUUAAUUACGAUAUAUGGCGUAAUGUAUUCUAUUUAAUAAACCUAUAUCAAAGUCAUUCCCCAUUGUUAAGCCUAUAUCAUAGUCAUUUGGAGUGAAAAAACCUAUCUUUAUUCUAGUUUUUAAGCCAAUUCCUAUUGUUAAGUCCAUUCCAAUUGUUAACCCAAUUACAAAGCUCAUUCCUAUUGUUAAGCAUAUUCCUAUUGUGAAGCUUAUCCCUGUUCCAACUUAUAAGCCGAUACUAAAACCAUUAAUAGUGAAAAAACCUAACCUAUUCUUGUGUUUAAGAAACCAUUCCAUAAACCAUUUUCUAUUCCUAAAAAGCCAUUCUUCCCUCCACUUAUUCCCUCUGUUUUUUUAUAAGUAAAAUUGUAUUAAAAAGAAGGUACUAAAGGUAUGAGAUUUACAAGGAAAAGUCAAAUAAUCACAUAAUUACAACAAGAGCUUUUAGGAGCAAUAAGAGUUUAAACAUUCACAUGGAUUACAGAUCCAUUCGAUGUAUUACAUUAUUGUGUGUUUACUUUUGUCUCGAAUCUAAAGUCAUGCUUUCACAUUUGCAGUAUCUACAAUUUGUUAGAAGGGGACCUUGUUGUUGUUGAAUAUGAUGUCAUUCCUUGCUAGCCAGAUUGACCAUAUCAUGGAUAGUCAUAUGAUGCUCUAGAACUUCCUACUCUUUUUAUUGGUAGAUAGACCCAUAUGCAUCAUGAAGUGUCUUCUCAUAUCUUAUGGAAGUGUAAUAUCAAACCCCAAAUCUUUGUAUAUCAUCUUCCAAAGUUGGUAAGUAAUACUGCAUGUUGACAAUAAAUGUUGAGAAGUUUCCAGUUCUUUGUCGCAUAACUUGCAAGUGGUAGCUCCUUGUAGUUGUGAAAUCCUCAAAUAAGCAAAGUGUCCAUGGUGGAUAUUCUGUCUUGGCCUUUAGAGGUGAUUUGGACUGCCAUAAGAGUUUGUAAAUGUUUUGAUGAUGAUAUGUUGAUUUAACAGUAUAUUAGCUCGACUUGUCAUGAAUCCACAACCAACAAUCUUUUGCAUCUCUCUUCAUGGUAGUUUGUUGUAAGACAUGCAUAAGAUUAUCAGUUAGUUCAAAUUACCAAACAAAAAGUUAUCUUCGCCAAGAAAGAGACUAUUCCCAAUUUUCAUUCGACCAAUGUCCCAAAUCUCUUAUAUUUGCAUCCCAAUCUGGUGUUAAAUUAUAACAUAUUUGUAAAUGGAGUAAAAAACUAAACAUAUAAUGUUAGAAGAUAAGUGAAUUUAUGUUUUUUGGUACUAUUAUCUAGAACUAAAUUUUAACUUUAAUUAGAAUUCAAUUAUUAAUGUAUUAUGUUGUCAAUAUUUGAUUGAUUAUCUUUACAUAGAUAUGUCUUCACACAAUCUUUAUUCCUCACACAACAAGCCUUUUUGUACCGUAAUAACUUAGAUUAAUCAGUUCUAUGAGAUGAUAUCUACAUAGUUAUGAUUAAACUACCACGUAACGAUCAAUAAGAUCAAUUGUUUCCAAAUUGCAUCCUCAACCUUAUCUCAUCCAAUCAUAUUUUGACAUUUAUCAAAAAGAAAAAUUAAGUAGUGGAAAAUAAAUUUUAAAUUGCAUGUUAUUAUUUUUUUAUUAUAUAUCAAAAUCUAUUAGAGAAUACUUGAGUGAAGUUGUUAUGCUACUAGUUUCAGUCUAACUGAUUUUGUUAUCAGUUUAGUUAGUAUGUUAAGUAGUUUCCCUUUGUAUAAAUAGGACUUGGAUCUAUUGUUGUGUUCAAUGAAUUCAUUCUAAUAAAAUACAAAAUCUGAUUUCAUCUUUUCUCUUUGUUUCCUUCCUUUUCUUGCUAACUUUACAUGGUAUCAUGUCACCUAUGACCUUCGUCUCCGAUCCUGAUCCUCAUGGUGAUUCUUCUCCUCCUCCUCCUCCUCCUGCCGCUGCUGCUACGUCGUUUCAAUCUUCGUCCACACCCGCUGCUGCGUCGCUACAAGCUUCGUCUCCAUUACUGAAUCUUCCAUUGCCGGCAAUGAAACUUACCGACAAGAACUUCCUAGUGUGGAGUCAAUUUGUUCUUGCUGUUCUACGCUCUAAUCGGUUUCAACGAUUUAUUUCAUAUCUUGAUCUUCCUCCUCAAUUUCUCACUGAUUUGGAUCAUCUUCAUAAUCAUGUUAAUCCUGCCUAUUUGAGUUGGGAUGAACAAGAUCAAUUAAUUUUGUCUUGGAUUCUCAAUUCUCUCUUUGAGGAACUUCAACCAUGAGUUAUCGGUUGUUCUACCUCGCGACAAUUGUGGCUGGAAAUUGUGGAUCACUGUCAAGCACAAACAAAAGCUCACGGUAGAUAGUUACGUUCUCAACUCAAAUCUAUCACAAAAUGAUCAAAUUCCAUUUUUGAAUAUUUUACUCGGAUUAAGGUGCUUGUUGAUUUGUUAAGUUCUAUUGGCUCUCCUAUUUCUCAAGCGGAGCAUAUUGAUUUCGUUCUUGAUGGAUUACCGAAAAAAUUUCAUCCUGUUAUUACGGUUGUGAAAAGUCACUUGGAUCUUCCAACAGUGAAUGCUCUUCAAUCUUUUCUUCUUACUUUUGAAGCGUGAUUAGAACGUCAUCGUAGUCAGUCAAUCUCGGAUGCAUUAUCGGUUAAUGUUGAUGUUGCUUCACCAAUGAGCUUGUCGGAAACUAUUUCCUCCGGAUAUCUGUUUCCUCCUACGGUGUCAUUGCCCUUCCCUCAACCUCAUUCUGCUAUGGUUAGGGCAUCUGCUCAAGGUUUUGGAGGGCCUCGUGGUGGUUUUCGUGGAUUUAGAGGUGGUUCCUGUGGUUACAGAGGCUUACGUGGUGGUGGAGGUCGUUUCUCUUCCAAGAACAAUUACUUUUGCACCUUUUGCAACAGGUAUGGUCAUGACCUCACCUUUUGCUACUAUGCACCCCCAAAUUUUGGCACACCUUACUCCCAACACUAUGGUACACCUUCAUCUACUAGAUAUCCAUCAAGUAUGCCACGUCAGCAAUUUAAUCCUAGUCAGAAUUUUAAUCCCAGUCAGCAGCCUCAUCAUACUUUUUAUUCUAGUCAGCAGUGGGCACCUCAUUCCUACAUGGAUCCAACUUAUCCAUUUAACCCUCAUUCAAUGUUUGCAUUGCCUCCGUCUUCCAAACUUGACCAUGAACUCUCUUCUUCUCAUCCCCAUGGCUUACAUCCUCAUACCAUGACUGCCAUCUCAACUGUUAAUGUUUCUGCUAAGCCAUCAACCUCUGUUUGGUAUCCGGAUUCGGGUGCUACUCAUCAUCUCACUCCUGAUCCAAUAUUAAUUCAAGAACCAUGUGAGAAGUUCAGUGCAGAUCAGAUUUAUAUAGGUAAUGGCACUAGUAUUGGUAUUAAGGCUUCUAACUGUUAAAUUUUGUUCUCCCACUUGUCCUAAUGUUGUGUUUUUUCUUAAUAUUGUUUUACUUGUUCCUUCCAUUACCAAGAAUCUUCUCAGUGUUUCUCAGUUUUCCAAAGACAAUUCAUGUUAUUUUGAAUUUCAUUCUAACUAUUGUCUUGUAAAAUGUCAAGGUUCUGAUCACAUUUUGCUGAGAGGAACUCUUACAUCGGAGGGACUCUAUGCCUUCUAUGAUCUUCGGCCUCUUCAUCUUGCUAAGCCUUCAUCCUCUUUACCUAAGCAUAAUAACACUGUCAAAUCUAGUUUACCUAAGAUUUACAAUUCUAGUGCUACUGAUUCUAAUAGUCAUGGUUCUUCAUAUUUUCUAUGGCAUUGUCGCUUAGGCAUGUUCAUGAACGUGUUGUUACUUAUGUAUUGAAUCAAUGUAAUGUUUCUCGUAUGAAUAAAAUUGUUCUUGAUUUUUGUUCAUCUUGUGUACUUGGUAAAUCUCAUAGGCUCCAUGCUACUACUUCCACUUCUGUUUAUACUAUUCCUUUUGAACUUCUGUAUCUAGAUUUGUGGGGACCUGCUCCAAUGGACUCGAUAACAGGAUUUAGAUAUUAUUUUUCUAUAAAUGAUGCUUCCACUAGACACACUUGGAUAUUUCUGCUUAAACAAAAGUCAGACACCUUAUCUAUGUUUAAGCAUUUUGUUACAAUGGUACAAAUUCAGUUUCAUCAUUCUGUUAAAUUUGUAUAGGGUGAUCAGGGGGUGAGUUUAGGUCUUUUCCCUUUUAUUUGUAGUCCCUGGGCAUAAUUCAUAGAGUCAUAUGUCCUCGUACUUAUCAUCAAAAUGGUACAGUGGAACGUAAACAUGGGCAUAUUGUUGACACUAGUCUUACUGUUCUUGCCCAUGCUUGUUUGCCAAUGAUUUUUUGGAAUCAUGUUUUUCUCACAGCAGUUUAUCUCAUUAAUAGACUUCCCUCUCCUUUGUUGUCAAAUAAGUCACCUCAUAAGCUUUUGUUUGAUAAGGAUCCUGACUAUUCUUCUCUAAAUGUUUUUGGAUGUUCUUGCUUUCCUCAUCUUAGACCUUACAAUAAGCACAAGUUGAAGUUUCAGUCUUCUGAGUGUAUUUUCCUUAGUUAUUCCACUUCCCACAAAGUUUACAAGUGUCUUUCAAAAGAAGGUAAACUUUUCAUCUCCAAAGAUGUUAUUUUCAAUGAGUAUUCAUUUCCUUAUGCUUCCUCCACUAAUACUGGUUCUACUUCUAAGUCUCCUCCCUCAUGUCCACUUGCCACUUAUGUGUUUCCUAUCACUAGUGAGUCUGUCAUGCCUGUUAAUCAUUCUCCACCCGUUGCUCCCAUAUCUCCUAAUGUUCCAAUCAUUUCUAGUGAUCCUCAUUCUCAUAACGUCUCUCCUAUUGUUCCUAUCAUUUCUAGUGAUCCUCUUUUUCCCAUUCUUGUGUCUUUUGGUAUUUCACCUCUUGGUCCAUCCACCUCAUUGGACUCUGGGUCUCCUGGUGUGGUGUCUUCCAACAGUCCACCUGUUGUUUCCAAGUCUCAAUCUGUCCAUCCAAUGCAAACUAGAUCCAAGUCAAGUAUUUCUAAACGGAUUGUUCCUCGAUCCUUUCUCACUCAUGUUGAACCUUCUAAUGUCACAAUUGCCUUAACAAUACCCAUUUGGAAGGAUGCGAUGACUGCUGAAUAUGAUGUUUUAAUGAAGUUAGGCACUUGGUCUCUUACUUCCCUUCCUCAUGGAAAGCAAGCCAUUGGCUGUAAAUGGGUGUUUAUAGUAAAAAAAAACCCAGAUGGCUCAAUAAACAAGUAUAAAUCUAGGUUGAUUGCUAAGGGAUUUCAUCAAAAAUUUGGUGUGGAUUAUACAAAAACCUUUUCACAUGUGGUCAAGCCUGUCACUAUUUGGAUUCUGUUGACCUUGGCUUUGACCUAUCACUGGCCUAUUAAGAAAUUAGAUGUCAAUAACGCCUUCCUGAAUGGGGACCUCACUCAAGAAGUAUAUAUGCAACAACCUCUUGGUUUUAAACAUUCUGACAAGAACUUAGUUUGCAAGCUUCACAAGGCUAUUUAUGGCCUCAAGCAAGCACCAAGGCAAUGGUUUGACAAACUCAAGCACACCUUGGUUUCUUUUGGUUUCUCUAUCAGUAGGUGUGACAACUCUCUCUUUAUCCUUCAUACUUCCACCUAAAAGAUUUACGUUCUAGUUCAUGUUGAUGACAUUAUAGUCACUGGAUCUUCUUUAGUUCAGGUCAAAAAGGUUAUUGAUCAACUUAGUUCUGUUUUUGCCCUCAAGUAGUUGGGAAUUCUUGACUAUUUUCUUUUAAUUGAAGUAAAGUCAUUACCCAAUGGCUCCUUAUUUCUAUCUCAAUCCAAGUAUAUAAGGGAUUUAUUGGAAAGAGCUAAUAUGAGCUCUGCUAAGGCCAUUGCCUCCCCUAUGGCUCACACCACCAAGCUAACUAAAGAAGGAGCAAACUAAUUUGAACAACCUUCUUUGUACAGGUUUAUAGUUGGUGCUUUACAAUAUACCACUGUUACAAGACCAGACAUUGCAUAUUCUGUCAAUAAAGUUUGUCAAUCUCUGUCUACACCACUUGAGGAACAUUGGUCAGAUGUGAAAAGAAUUCUUCGGUAUCUAAUUGGGACUGUCACUCAUGGAAUUCUUCUCCAACCUGUUUCACCAGCUUCUCCUCUUCCUCUCACUGGUUUCUGUGAUGCUGACUGGGCAUUUGAUUGUGAUGAUAGAAAAUCUACAUCUAGAGCUUGCUUGUUUCUAGGGAAUAACCUUAUCACUUGGUGGUCAAAGAAGCAAACUACUAUUUCCAGAUCCAGCACUGAGGCAGAAUAUAGAAGCCUAACUCUUAUAGCUCAAGAGUUUCAAUGGGUGCAAUCGCUUCUUCAAGAACUUAAAUUUAGUCACACUACUCCUCUCUUGUUGUGUGAGAACCUGAGCAUUGUUGCUCUUGCUCAUAAUCAUGUUCUUCAUCAAAGAACAAAGCACAUAGAACUUGAUCUAUUUUUUGUUCGAGAUAAAGUUCAGUCUAAGUCUUUAUUAGUGAAGCAUAUUCCUGCAAAUUUUCAGACUGCCGACAUCCUCACAAAGCCUCUGUCUUCAUCUCGUUUCAGUUAUCUCAGGAAUAAGCUUCAAGUUUUUGAUUUCCAUGAUGUUCAAUCCCACCGUCAGUUUCAAGGGGGAAUAUUAGAGAAUACUUGAGUGAAGUUGUUAUGCUAUUAGUUUCAGUCUAAUUGAUUCUGUUAUCAAUUUAAUUAGUUUGUUAAGUAGCUUCCAUUUGUAUAAAUAGGACUUGGAUCUAUUGUUGUAUGCAACGAAUUCAUUCUAAUAAAAUAUAAAAUCUGAUUUCAUCGUUUCUCUCUAUUUCCCUUCUUUUCUUGCUAACUUUACAAAAUCUAAUUGAAUACUAUAUAUUAUUUUUUAUUAUAUAUAAUAUAAUAAAGUCUAAUUGAAUAUUAUUUUUUGUUAUAUAUCAAAACUAAGUAGUGGAGACACAAUUUGAAGACAAUUGAUCUCAAUUAGUUUGAUACCAUUUGCUUUUGGAGUUUUAGCUAGUAAAGUUGGCAAGUGUCUCAAGUGUCAAAUGAAAAAAACCUAUAUGGAGAUGGUCUUGACAUUGACAUGUAGGCUCGUUGUGGGGGAAAAUUGAUUCCGUAAUUCAAUUAUAUGAAAUUAAGAAUAAAUUGAGAAUUUAAAAUAAAAUGUGAUUGAAUAGCAUCUAUUUUAAUCUUCUUUUUUUAUAAUCAAAUAUUAAAAUGUUAAUAUUUUGUUGUGAAUGAAACUCAAACUUACAACCUCAUAAAUUACAUUUCUUAAACCUUUUAUAUUAAACCAUUAGACUACUUUACGACUCCAUAAAAUUCCUCUUCCUUAAUAGUAUUGUAAUUGUAAUAUCAUAUAACUUUUUGGUAGUUAUUAUUUUCUAUAAUAGUUUGCUUUAAUUUGUUUAGUCAUAUAUAUCUUCCACAUAAAACAAUUCUUCAUAUGCAAAAUUCUAAUCUAGAUCAUUGUUUAAAGGGGAGUAGACAUGUUGAUGUUCCAUCUAUACCAUCUUUAUCAUCCACCCAUUAGUAUAGACUUGCUCUACCACACAAAUAUUGAAAUAAAAUUAAAAAUAGAUUAAAUUAUUUAUAUGCACAUAUUAUAUAAGAAUCAUUUAUAUUGUUAAUUUAUUAUGUAGUAGCUAUUGAACUCUUUAAUAUAAUAAUUCAUGUGAAAUAUUUAUAAUUGUUAUUGUAGAUAUUUAUACAUAUUCACUAUAUUAUUGUUUAUUCAUUUGUAUUAAUUUUUUGAAGAGUUAAUUAGUGAUAGUUAAUUAUUAAUUGUAAAUUAUACAAUAACAAUAUAUAAAACUCAUACACUUACAUUUUUAUCUCUAAUAAUACAAACAGAAGUAGAAAAUAAAUUUCAUUCUUUAGAAUCAUUUUACAAAAUACUGAGAAUUUUAUUGAGCUGACUGAAAGCAUUAACUAUAAGAGAUAUUCCAAUAAAUUACACAAGGUGGGUACAAUGGUUUAUGAAAACACAUUAUGCAGAGAGAUAAAAACAUAGCUAUAUCUAUAUAUAAAAAAGCUUUAUAAAUGGAGUGGAUAGCAUUCUAAGCAUAUAUAUAUGAAAUAUAUUUGUGACUAUGGGUUGUGUGGAGGGAAGAAGGGCUUCUUGCUAGGGAUAGGAAAUGAUUUAUGGAAUGGCUUCUUGAACAGUGGAAUAGGCUUAUGAAUAGGAAUUGGUUUAUAAACUGGAAUAGGCUUAUGAAUAGGAAUUGGUUUAUAAACUGGAAUAGGCUUAUGAAUAGGAAUUGGUUUAUAAACUGGAAUAGGCUUAUGAAUAGGAAUUGGUUUAUAAACUGGAAUAGGCUUAUAAAUUGGAAUUGGUUUAUACACUGGAAUAGGUUUAUAAACUGGAACAGGAAUAGGUUUUACGACUGGAUAUGGCUUUGGAAUAGGCUUAUAAAUUGGAAUAUGUUUCUUGUAAAAUGGCUUCUUGAAUAGUGGGAAUUUGUGAUGAAAAAGUCCUUUGAAUUUAGCUUCUUCAUCAUCAACUUUGGGGCUUGUCUUUGCAAUACCUUCGUUUACAAGCUUCCCAUCAGUAUUCACUUUAUCCCCAGCUGCAAAAUAAAUUCAAAAGAAUUACAUAAUUCAAAGACACAAUACUUCUAUGAUAAUUAUAAACUUGAGUUAUUCCACAAUAAUUAUUAUAUACUAUAUAUUUACGUGAGGGAGUGUGAGUAAUAUGAAGCAUGCACAAACCUGAAACUUGAGUUGCUGGUAGAGCUGAAGUAGCAUAACAGAAUGUGACAAUAAGCAACAAGGGAACACAGAAUCGCACAAGUGCAGAUGGCUUUCCCAUUGAGAAAACAAGGUAAGAUAUGACAAUUAUGAUAGGGGAAUGAAUACC
Molecule: long non-coding RNA, 16288 nt
Filed under: Lupinus angustifolius (narrow-leaved blue lupine)
Lineage: Eukaryota; Viridiplantae; Streptophyta; Magnoliopsida; Fabales; Fabaceae
Description: long non-coding RNA (LANG_LNC001428)
Source: RNAcentral